GCGUGGAGACAGGUGGUGCAUGGCUGUCGUCAGCUCGUGUCGUGAGAUGUUGGGUUAAGUCCCGCAACGAGCGCAACCCUCACCUCUAGUUGCCACCAGGUCAUGCUGAGCACUCUAGAGGAACUGCCCCGGUCAACGGGGAGGAAGGCGGGGAUGACGUCAAGUCAUCAUGCCCCUUACGUCCUGGGCUACACACGUGCUACAAUGGCCGGUACAAAGGGAUGCGAGGCCGCGAGGUAGAGCUAAUCCCAAAAAGCCGGUCUAAGUUCAGAUUGCAGUCUGCAACUCGACUCCAUGAAGGAGGAAUCGCUAGUAAUCGCGUAUCAGCACGGCGCGGUGAAUACGUUCCCGGGCCUUGUACACACCGCCCGUCACACCACGAAAGCCUAUCUGUACUCGAAGUCGCUGAG
This 410-nucleotide ribosomal RNA is filed under the name uncultured Methylomirabilota bacterium. RNAcentral describes it as "bacterial SSU rRNA". It matches the Rfam family "Bacterial small subunit ribosomal RNA", at positions 1026 to 1434 of the family's 1533-position model. Lineage: Bacteria; Methylomirabilota (SeqCode). The record is from RNAcentral.